RNAcentral lists this ribosomal RNA (506 nucleotides) under uncultured bacterium. Its description in RNAcentral is "partial 16S ribosomal RNA". It matches the Rfam family "Bacterial small subunit ribosomal RNA", at positions 29 to 523 of the family's 1533-position model. The record is from RNAcentral.
AGUGAACGCUGGCGGUAGGCCUAACACAUGCAAGUCGAACGGCAGCACAGGGGAGCUUGCUCUCUGGGUGGCGAGUGGCGGACGGGUGAGGAAUACAUCGGAAUCUACUUUUUCGUGGGGGAUAACGUAGGGAAACUUACGCUAAUACCGCAUACGACCUACGGGUGAAAGCAGGGGACCUUCGGGCCUUGCGCGAUUGAAUGAGCCGAUGUCGGAUUAGCUAGUUGGCGGGGUAAAGGCCCACCAAGGCGACGAACCGUAGCUGGUCUGAGAGGGUGAUCAGCCACACUGGAACUGAGACACGGUCCAGACUCCUACGGGAGGCAGCAGUGGGGAAUAUUGGACAAUGGGCGCAAGCCUGAUCCAGCCAUACCGCGUGGGUGAAGAAGGCCUUCGGGUUGUAAAGCCCUUUUGUUGGGAAAGAAAUCCAGCUGGCUAAUACCCGGUUGGGAUGACGGUACCCAAAGAAUAAGCACCGGCUAACUUCGUGCCAGCCGCCGCUGUAA